This 1200-nucleotide unclassified non-coding RNA is filed under the name Albertiniella polyporicola. RNAcentral describes it as "sequence contains ITS1, 5.8S rRNA gene, ITS2 and 28S rRNA gene". The stretch from base 549 to 1200 matches the Rfam family "Eukaryotic large subunit ribosomal RNA", at positions 1 to 667 of the family's 3401-position model. Lineage: Eukaryota; Fungi; Ascomycota; Sordariomycetes; Cephalothecales; Cephalothecaceae. The record is from RNAcentral.
GCGGAGGGAUCAUUACAGAGUUGAAAGACUCCAAACCAUUGUGAACAUACCUAUUGCUACCGUCAGGUGCUUGUUGCUUCGGUGUUCGACACUCUCUAGGUGCAAUCGACUACUAGAGGUGCACGCCUGUUGAGACAGCGCCUGUGCGGGACCCAAACCCUUAUUCUUUAGCGUAUUCUGAGCGUGGAAACACAAAUGAAUCAAAACUUUCAACAACGGAUCUCUUGGUUCUGGCAUCGAUGAAGAACGCAGCGAAAUGCGAUAAGUAAUGUGAAUUGCAGAAUUCAGUGAAUCAUCGAAUCUUUGAACGCACAUUGCGCCCGCCAGCAUUCUGGCGGGCAUGCCUGUCCGAGCGUCAUUUCAACCCUCGAGGCCCCUGUGGUCUUGGUGUUGGGGCGCUACAGGAACCCUCUACAGGGCGACUGUAGGCUCCUAAGUGCAUUGGCGGGCCUCUUGCGAGCCUAGGCGUAGUAGUCAUCUCCUCGCCUUGGGCCUCGCGGCGGUACCCAGCCAGCAAACCGCUCGCCCUCGGGCAGCACACACAAGGUUGACCUCGGAUCAGGUAGGACUACCCGCUGAACUUAAGCAUAUCAAUAAGCGGAGGAAAAGAAACCAACAGGGAUUGCCCUAGUAACGGCGAGUGAAGCGGCAACAGCUCGAAUUUGAAAUCUGGCUCCCUUGGGGGUCCGAGUUGUAAUCUACAGAGGAUGCUUCAGGCAAGGCACCCGCCGAGUUCCCUGGAACGGGACGCCACAGAGGGUGAGAGCCCCGUAUGGCGGGAGGCCGCGCCUGUGUGAAGCUCCUUCGACGAGUCGAGUAGCUUGGGAAUGCUGCUCUAAAUGGGAGGUAGACUUCUUCUAAAGCUAAAUAUUGGCCAGAGACCGAUAGCGCACAAGUAGAGUGAUCGAAAGAUGAAAAGCACUUUGAAAAGAGGGUCAAACAGUACGUGAAAUUGUUGAAAGGGAAGCGCCUAUGGCCAGACUUGCGGCAGGUCGAUCAUCUAGCGGUCUCCGCUAGUGCACUCGGCCUACCGCAGGCCAGCGUCGGCUGUUGCGGGGGGACAAAAGCACUGGGAACGUGGCUCCCUCCGGGGAGUGUUAUAGCCCAGUGCAGAAUGCCCCCGCGGCGGCCGAGGACCGCGCCCUUGUGGCAAGGACGCUGGCGUAAUGGCCAUCAGCGACCCGUCUUGAAACACGGACC